GACGAACGCUGGCGGCGUGCUUAACACAUGCAAGUCGAACGGAAAGGCCCUGCUUGCAGGGUACUCGAGUGGCGAACGGGUGAGUAACACGUGGGUGAUCUGCCCUGCACUUCGGGAUAAGCCUGGGAAACUGGGUCUAAUACCGGAUAGGAGCCAUUUUUAGUGUGAUGGUUGGAAAGUUUUUUCGGUGUAGGAUGAGCUCGCGGCCUAUCAGCUUGUUGGUGGGGUAAUGGCCUACCAAGGCGGCGACGGGUAGCCGGCCUGAGAGGGUGGACGGCCACAUUGGGACUGAGAUACGGCCCAGACUCCUACGGGAGGCAGCAGUGGGGAAUAUUGCACAAUGGGCGCAAGCCUGAUGCAGCGACGCCGCGUGGGGGAUGACGGCCUUCGGGUUGUAAACUCUUUUCGCUAGGGACGAAGCUUUUUGUGACGGUACCUAGAUAAGAAGCACCGGCUAACUACGUG
RNAcentral lists this ribosomal RNA (465 nucleotides) under uncultured bacterium. Its description in RNAcentral is "partial 16S ribosomal RNA". It matches the Rfam family "Bacterial small subunit ribosomal RNA", at positions 28 to 507 of the family's 1533-position model. The record is from RNAcentral.